Molecule: ribosomal RNA, 430 nt
Filed under: uncultured bacterium
Lineage: Bacteria
Description: partial 16S ribosomal RNA
Rfam family: Bacterial small subunit ribosomal RNA
Source: RNAcentral
AACGAACGCUGGCGGCAGGCUUAACACAUGCAAGUCGAGCGCACCGCAAGGUGAGCGGCAGACGGGUGAGUAACGCGUGGGAAUCUACCCAACCCUACGGAAUAACCCAGGGACACUUGGACUAAUACCGUAUACGCCCUUUUGGGGAAAGAUUUAUCGGGGAUGGAUGAGCCCGCGUUGGAUUAGCUAGUUGGUGGGGUAAAGGCCUACCAAGGCGACGAUCCAUAGCUGGUCUGAGAGGAUGAUCAGCCACAUUGGGACUGAGACACGGCCCAAACUCCGACGGGAGGCAGCAGUGGGGAAUAUUGGACAAUGGGCGCAAGCCUGAUCCAGCCAUGCCGCGUGAGUGAUGAAGGCCUUAGGGUUGUAAAGCUCUUUCAGUAGGGAAGAUAAUGACGGUACCUACAGAAGAAGCCCCGGCUAACUUCGU